AGUGAACGCUGGCGGUAGGCCUAACACAUGCCAGUCGAACGGCAGCACAGUAAGAGCUUGCUCUUACGGGUGGCGAGUGGCGGACGGGUGAGGCAUACAUCGGAAUCUUCUUUUUCGUGGGGGAUAACGUAGGGAAACUUACGCUAAUACCGCAUACGACCUACGGGUGAAAGCAGGGGAUCUUCGGACCUUGCGCGAUUGAAUGAGCCGAGGUCGGAUUGGUUGGUUGGCGGGGUAAAGGCCCACCAAGGCGACGAUCCGUAGCUGGUCUGAGAGGAGGUUCAGCCACACGGAAACUGGACCACGGUCCAGCCUCUUAGGGGAGGCACCGGUGGGAAAUAUUGGACAAGGGCGCAAGCCUGAUCCAGCCAUACCGCGUGAGUGAAGAAGGCCUUCGGGUUGUAAAGCCCUUUUGUUGGGAAAGAAAAGCAGCAGGUUAAUACCCCGCUGUUCUGACGGUACCCAAAGAAUAAGCACCGGCUAACUUCGUG
Molecule: ribosomal RNA, 491 nt
Filed under: uncultured bacterium
Lineage: Bacteria
Description: partial 16S ribosomal RNA
Rfam family: Bacterial small subunit ribosomal RNA
Source: RNAcentral